Molecule: ribosomal RNA, 253 nt
Filed under: uncultured bacterium
Lineage: Bacteria
Description: partial 16S ribosomal RNA
Rfam family: Bacterial small subunit ribosomal RNA
Source: RNAcentral
UACGUAGGUGGCAAGCGUUGUCCGGAUUUAUUGGGUUUAAAGGGUGCGUAGGCGGCUUUGUAAGUCAGUGGUGAAAUACGGUAGCUCAACUAUCGAGGUGCCAUUGAUACUGCGGAGCUUGAGUACAGAUGAGGUAGGCGGAAUUGACGGUGUAGCGGUGAAAUGCUUAGAUAUCGUGAAGAACACCUAUAGCGAAGGCAGCUUACUAGGCUGUAACUGACGCUGAGGCACGAAAGUGUGGGGAUCAAACAGG